Molecule: ribosomal RNA, 634 nt
Filed under: Actinomycetales bacterium Ri2Ps_4964
Lineage: Bacteria; Bacillati; Actinomycetota; Actinomycetes; Actinomycetales
Description: bacterial SSU rRNA
Rfam family: Bacterial small subunit ribosomal RNA
Source: RNAcentral
CCUGAUGCAGCGACGCCGCGUGAGGGAUGACGGCCUUCGGGUUGUAAACCUCUUUCAGCAGGGACGAAGCGAAAGUGACGGUACCUGCAGAAGAAGCACCGGCCAACUACGUGCCAGCAGCCGCGGUAAUACGUAGGGUGCGAGCGUUGUCCGGAAUUACUGGGCGUAAAGAGCUCGUAGGCGGUUUGUCACGUCGUCUGUGAAAACCAGCAGCUCAACUGCUGGCGUGCAGGCGAUACGGGCAGACUUGAGUACUGCAGGGGAGACUGGAAUUCCUGGUGUAGCGGUGAAAUGCGCAGAUAUCAGGAGGAACACCGGUGGCGAAGGCGGGUCUCUGGGCAGUAACUGACGCUGAGGAGCGAAAGCGUGGGUAGCGAACAGGAUUAGAUACCCUGGUAGUCCACGCCGUAAACGGUGGGUACUAGAUGUGGGUCCCUUCCACGGGAUCCGUGUCGUAGCUAACGCAUUAAGUACCCCGCCUGGGGAGUACGGCCGCAAGGCUAAAACUCAAAGGAAUUGACGGGGGCCCGCACAAGCGGCGGAGCAUGUGGAUUAAUUCGAUGCAACGCGAAGAACCUUACCUGGGUUUGACAUAUACCGGAAACGCCUAGAGAUAGGUGCCCCCUUGUGGUCG